UCCGGUACAGAAAAAUACGACUUUUUUGUUAUAUGUUUCUUUUUAUAAUUUUUCACAUUUAAACACUCGUUAAGUGUUCUUGAAUCAAUUCUAUGCGGUUCCUUCAGCAACUUUAUGCUGGUAAACGAUUUCCCCAUGAAAAUAAUGUGAAAAGAAAUCGCAUGAUACGAUAAAAAGGUAACGACUAACGAGGCUCGAGAAACGUUAAUAUGUUUUCAACAAGUUGAA
RNAcentral lists this long non-coding RNA (228 nucleotides) under Mytilus galloprovincialis (Mediterranean mussel). Lineage: Eukaryota; Metazoa; Mollusca; Bivalvia; Mytilida; Mytilidae. The record is from RNAcentral.